AAGCACUGAUAAACAUGAAAUUGAACAUUCAGCCACAACAUACAAAUACUAAAUCAUCAAACAGUUACAUCAGACGCACAGUGAAACAUACUCAUUCACGUUCUAAGCAUAUUUAUUAAGACACCAAACAUGUAAGCAAAGAAAAUACACGAUACAUAUUGAUGAAGUUCUCUUGAGUUUGGGCCACAAAACACCCACCUCCUCGAUUAGGAACUCCCAAGUUAUUCUUUCUUUCCUAUUCCAAGUGACAUAUUGUAGAUCCCUCGACCCUGAACAAAAGGAAUAUAACAAUGUCAAAAAGAAGAGGAGACUCCCUCAUAACUUAAAACUGAUAAAGUGGAUACAAAUCCUGUGAAGAUUUUCUAACUUACAAUCAGAAACAAUGAAGUUGCUGCCAAAGCAGCUGGUAUUGCUACUGAUGUAACCCUAUCAAAUGGCCCUUUCAAGUAUGUGUGUUUCGGGAUAUGCUGGAAAUACUUUUGCUUUUCAAUAAUCUUCUCUCGUGGUCUAAAGGGUGGUUCCAAAUCCGACAUCCUGCACAAUCUAGUUGUUAUUUGACAACUUUCUCUUAAAUGCUUUUUCCCAACACAGAGUGGGAAUAUUAUAAAAGAGAUAUGACAUGAAAAACAAACAAAAAUGUUCACCCCAAAAAAUCAAUCCUCUACACCUUACAAACAUAACAAUAUUAAAAUACAUUGUUGAAGAAAAAACAACAAAGUUGAAAAGGAUCGUAACAAUAACAAUAAACACACAAAUGCAGCUCCAUACUACUGCUAAACACAUGAAUCGUUCGGGAGAACCCAAGUUCAAUUCCUGGUGGGAACAAUUCUUGGCCAGACUUUACUUACCUCCCAGCCGAACUCCAGAUUACUAGGCCCCCUUCCCCUAUGAACCAAAGGAUUAACACCAAAGACCAAAAUACUACUACUGAACUUCCAAACCAGGCCACAACAUAUAUCAUUCAGUUCACUAAACUUAUAAAUACCAAAACACAAAAGGGUCUAAAGAAAAAUUUCACAUACAUAUCAAGCAUGAACAACAUCAAAAUAUAGUGAUAAAAUCUAACUCCUCUAAAGUGAAGGGUGCACUUGACAAGGUAAAGUUAAGAAUUUACUCAUUAAUUGAAGAACUAUGUAUAAUAUGAUAUUAACCUAUAAAGAUAGUUAAAAAUAACUUAUUGAAUUUCCAAUCAAUUAAUAAUGCAACUCCACAUUUUACAUGUGACUGACUUAUAUUACAUUUUACUAGAAAAAGCUUUACAUAUACAAUGAAACAAAAGUGAAUCAGCAUUUUAGUCCUUAAAAUUAUAGAAGUGGAACUGAUCCCUAAAAUUAUCGAAAUUCUAAAAUAAUCCCUGAAAUUUAAAAUCUUUGAUCACGUUAUCCUAUUGGGUUGAUCAAUUUAGCCUUGAAAUUGUGUCAAAGGGACAAUUUUCGAUAUCAUUUUGAAAUUUGUUUAACUUGAAAAACCAAAUUGUUGUCCCAUACAAUUUCAUAACUAAAUUGAUAAUACACUCAACAAAAUGGGUUUCUAACUUGAUUGAGCCUAUAUAGUGGUAUAAGCACUUGUGAGAACAACUUAUUUUCAUAAGACUAUGAAGCACGGACACUCUUUGGUUAAGGCGUGUCCCCGUGUCAGACACGUGUCGUGUCCGACAUCGACACGACACCGACAAAUAUAAUUACACUGCAUUUUGUGAUUUUCUAAAAAAUUUAGCUGUGUCGGCGUGUCCGUGUCGUGCCUGGUGUCCGUGUCCGUAUACUUGCUUCAUAGUCAUAAGUUCUCAAUAAUAGCUUAAGAAAACAGCUUUUAACUUGUAUACUUACUGAUAAGAUUCAAAAUAAUUGUUAAUUUAUUUAAAUAUAUCCAAUUCUAAUAUUUCAUAGCUAUUACCGUAAAAACAACGAGGAGAGUAAAGAGUAUAAGCUUACUUUGAGCGACGGAGGAGGCGACGGUUGAUGAAGAGAAAAUGGGUCUUCGAUUGGGGUGGGUGGCUAAUAGUUACUUCCUAGAUUCUU
This 2018-nucleotide long non-coding RNA is filed under the name Medicago truncatula (barrel medic). RNAcentral's name for it is "lncRNA gene11629". The record is from RNAcentral. Lineage: Eukaryota; Viridiplantae; Streptophyta; Magnoliopsida; Fabales; Fabaceae.